Molecule: ribosomal RNA, 513 nt
Filed under: uncultured eukaryote
Lineage: Eukaryota
Description: partial small subunit ribosomal RNA
Source: RNAcentral
GCAUGAACCGGUCUCAACUCGUCUAAGAAUGGCUCUUCAUCUGCCAAUCCACCAUCCUCAAGAUUAGAGAUAUUCUUCAUACUGUUCAACAUGUCAACGAUGGGUUUGGCGAGCGCGAAUUGAACUGCCACAAAGCAAGCGGCAACGAAGACGAUCGACACGCAAGCCGCAGCAAUGGUGGCAGCAAGUGUCGUUUGUGUCGAGCCGUAGUAGAACGAGUUGGGAACCUGGGAGAUGACGACUAGGUGGAGUCUACCAUUCGCGAAGAUGUGGGCCACCGCAACGAUCGAAUCAUCGUAGUCGCUGAUGAUGACGUCGUUCGUGGCGUUGCGGAGGUGCUCAAUCGUUCCACCGUAGGAGUUGAAGACGCGUUGCAUCAGAGCGUUGACGGAUGGAUUCGGCGUCGCUGUCGGAAAGAAUACUUCACCCGAGACAACGUCAUACAAUGGAAGAUCACUCUCCGGCAUGCUCGAAGCGAUCAGGGCGCCUUCGUAGACCAGUGUCUUCCUCACG